This is a long non-coding RNA of Neofelis nebulosa (Clouded leopard), 529 nucleotides long. RefSeq lists it as uncharacterized. The record is from RefSeq and is a predicted model, not a curated record. The transcript has 3 exons. NCBI's taxonomy places the organism in Eukaryota, Metazoa, Chordata, Mammalia, Carnivora, Felidae.
UGGAACCCCAGUUAACCAUGGGUAACUGAAACUCUGGAGGCAGAACCAUGGGUACCACUGUAUAUGGAAGUGUUAACUUCUCACAAAUGAACUCCCACGUACUCUUUCCAUGUUUUAUAGGAUUUUUUCAAGUAGUUUCUGAAAACUUUCUAAGUAUAUUCAGAGACGCUGUGCAACCCAACCCCAGGGGGCACCGUCCACACUGCUGUCAAUGAGACUAAAGACCCCCAGUUGUCUGUAUGAUGGGUACGAGCAACUGUAAGGCCCCCAACUGCUACGUCACUGAAACCUGUGACUAGAAUCACUCAGCUUUACUGGGUCCGUCUCAACAGUCCCAAAAUGUCGACAAGAGGUCUCCAGGGGGGUGACCGAGAAGUACAUCCUAAUCGUGUAUAAGCGGCAUGUUAAUUUUUUCUCUUUACACAGAGUACACCAACUUCUUUUUUUGCCCCAAACCUCCUUUUCUCUCUUUCCUGCUUAAGGUUCUCAGAAAAAGUCAGAAACUAUAAAUGAGGUUAUUAAACUUGAA